RNAcentral lists this ribosomal RNA (898 nucleotides) under Haemophilus influenzae. RNAcentral describes it as "bacterial LSU rRNA". It matches the Rfam family "Bacterial large subunit ribosomal RNA", at positions 1759 to 2654 of the family's 2925-position model. Lineage: Bacteria; Pseudomonadati; Pseudomonadota; Gammaproteobacteria; Pasteurellales; Pasteurellaceae. The record is from RNAcentral.
GCCCCUGAAGGUUGAACCGGUCGAAGAUACCAGCUGGCUGCAACUGUUUAUUAAAAACACAGCACUCUGCAAACACGAAAGUGGAGGUAUAGGGUGUGAUGCCUGCCCGGUGCUGGAAGGUUAAUUGAUGGUGUAAUCGAAAGAGAAGCACCUGAUCGAAGCCCCAGUAAACGGCGGCCGUAACUAUAACGGUCCUAAGGUAGCGAAAUUCCUUGUCGGGUAAGUUCCGACCUGCACGAAUGGCAUAAUGAUGGCCAGGCUGUCUCCACCCGAGACUCAGUGAAAUUGAAAUCGCCGUGAAGAUGCGGUGUACCCGCGGCUAGACGGAAAGACCCCGUGAACCUUUACUAUAGCUUGACACUGAACAUUGAAUUUUGAUGUGUAGGAUAGGUGGGAGACUAAGAAGUAGGAACGCCAGUUUCUAUGGAGUCAUCCUUGAAAUACCACCCUUUAACGUUUGAUGUUCUAACGAAGAUUACGAAACGUGGUCUCGGACAGUGUCUGGUGGGUAGUUUGACUGGGGCGGUCUCCUCCCAAAGCGUAACGGAGGAGCACGAAGGUUUGCUAAUCACGGUCGGACAUCGUGAGGUUAGUGCAAUGGUAUAAGCAAGCUUAACUGCGAGACAGACAAGUCGAGCAGGUACGAAAGUAGGUCAUAGUGAUCCGGUGGUUCUGAAUGGAAGGGCCAUCGCUCAACGGAUAAAAGGUACUCCGGGGAUAACAGGCUGAUACCGCCCAAGAGUUCAUAUCGACGGCGGUGUUUGGCACCUCGAUGUCGGCUCAUCACAUCCUGGGGCUGAAGUAGGUCCCAAGGGUAUGGCUGUUCGCCAUUUAAAGUGGUACGCGAGCUGGGUUUAGAACGUCGUGAGACAGUUCGGUCCCUAUCUGCCGUGGGCGU